UACGAAGGGGGCUAGCGUUGCUCGGAAUUACUGGGCGUAAAGCGCACGUAGGUGGCUUUUUAAGUCGGGGGUGAAAUCCUGGAGCUCAACUCCAGAACUGCCCUCGAUACUGGGAAGCUUGAGUUCGGGAGAGGUGAGUGGAACUGCGAGUGUAGAGGUGAAAUUCGUAGAUAUUCGCAAGAACACCAGUGGCGAAGGCGGCUCACUGGCCCGAUACUGACGCUGAGGUGCGAAAGCGUGGGGAGCAAACAGG
This 253-nucleotide ribosomal RNA is filed under the name uncultured bacterium. Its description in RNAcentral is "partial 16S ribosomal RNA". It matches the Rfam family "Bacterial small subunit ribosomal RNA", at positions 524 to 776 of the family's 1533-position model. The record is from RNAcentral.